This 255-nucleotide ribosomal RNA is filed under the name uncultured bacterium. RNAcentral's name for it is "partial 16S ribosomal RNA". It matches the Rfam family "Bacterial small subunit ribosomal RNA", at positions 524 to 776 of the family's 1533-position model. The record is from RNAcentral.
UACGGGGGGAGCAAGCGUUGUUCGGAUUUACUGGGCGUAAAGGGCGCGUAGGCGGCCACCGCAAGUCGACUGUGAAAUCUCCGGGCUUAACCCGGAAAGGUCAGCCGAUACUGCGGGGCUAGAGUGCAGAAGGGGCAACUGGAAUUCUCGGUGUAGCGGUGAAAUGCGUAGAGAAUCGGGAGGAACACCUGUGGCGAAGGCGGCCGACUGGGCCGACCCUGACGCUGAGGCGCGAAGGCGUGGGGAGCGAACGGG